AUCUUAUGCAAGAAUAUGCUACACAAAAUUGAAAUGUGUUUAUUUUAAACAAUUACUUUGAAUUUUGAUUCAAUUUUGUUUUGAAAGAUGUGAUUAUUUAAAUCACAUUAAUUUUGUUUUUGCCAAAUCUGGGGACAAAUGCAAAAUUCUUCUGAGUGACUAAGUUAACCAAAUGACUGGGUUGAAGUCACAAAAUACUAC
RNAcentral lists this long non-coding RNA (201 nucleotides) under Mytilus galloprovincialis (Mediterranean mussel). Lineage: Eukaryota; Metazoa; Mollusca; Bivalvia; Mytilida; Mytilidae. The record is from RNAcentral.